AUGCUGUUCUUUAAGAAGUGAUUUUAUCCAACCAUGAAAAGCAGUUUCCUUUUAAGAAUGGCACAGCACUAGCAGGGAACACCUCGCUACCAGCUCCUCUCUCGAGGAAUUCGUUCCCUCUCCCUGGUCAGAAUUUCCCCUUUCUCUAAGGGCAGCACAGAGGUCAGGUUCAAACCUAACACCGUGCAACUGUUUUGUCAAGGUCUGACCUUACUGCAGAAAGCUUUAGUGGGUGUUACCAUAACCCAAGAGGCUCCCGAAGCAGGCUAAGAAGUUGUUUUUGUACACGAUGGCUCGAUAUGUGGUAGCAACCUAUUGCACCAAACACCCCUUUCCUCAGCUGGGUCAGAGUCAGAGGGAGUCAAAAGCAGCCAGAAGUGGAAUGACAGAAUGUGAGAAAGAUUCAAAUUCUCUCAAUCAAACAUGAAACAUGGAAAAGAGCUGCAGCUCCAUGUUGAUUUGAGCCUCACCUAACAGCAAAAGGAAUUUAGAAAUGGUUUAAAAGGGGGAUGAAAGCCAGUUACUACUAAUUUUCAGGAUCACAAGGUGGAUUUUCUCCUUUUCUCACAUAUGUAGAGGCAAAACUGAAAUCCAAUCAAAUUUCUCAUAUUUUAAGACUGCAGUAAGUAUCUCUCUGUGUCCCUUCUGUCCUUCACCACUCACACCAGUGCUGUCCAGCUUCCUGAAAUCACAGGCCUGCACUGCAACGAGCACCACGCUCAGAGUAAAUCUCUCCAGAUUGAGCAGUGAACAAAAAAAUCACCUGAAAGCACAGUAUCGUAACUUUUAAAAUGUCAUUUGUGGACAUUAAGAGCCUUUAGGCCACUAAGAAGCCCCCAGGCUUUGUAGUCAUCACCAAAGGGAAGUUCAGAGCCUUCCAGCACCAACAGCCUGCUCAGACACAGGGCUAUCAAUAUCACAAAUACCACAUGCCACAUGGAGCUCAAAGCCCAACGUUCAGCUCCCCCUGUCCCAGCAGGGCCACCCCAAGCUGGUGCCCAGUCCCACAUCCACCUCUGGGAGCUGGGCCCAGCGCUCCAGGUGUGACCCCACAGGUGCAGAAAGGACAGAAAGGGUCCCCUCCUUGUCCUGCUGGGGACACCUUGACUCAUGCAGCCCAGGACACCGUUGGCCUUCCUUGCAGAGAGCACAUUUGGCGCCCACGAGGAACGUACACACCCACCCCUCAACAACCUGAGGUCUCCUAAAAAACAAACUCUGUACUUCCAGCAGCUCACAAGCCUUCAGAGUCCUUCCCACCCCACUCCAUUCACCACAUUAUGUAUGCCCAGCUCAACUCCUUCUCCUCAUUAGGGGUCCCCAGAGCCCCCCAAACAUCCCUCUUCACACCCUUGCAACACCCCAGACACCCGAAAGCAACCCCACAAGGGCCCUCCCAUACUGACAAGUCCCACCC
RNAcentral lists this long non-coding RNA (1417 nucleotides) under Anas zonorhyncha (Eastern spot-billed duck). Its description in RNAcentral is "lncRNA (ENSAZOG00000010955.1)". Lineage: Eukaryota; Metazoa; Chordata; Aves; Anseriformes; Anatidae. The record is from RNAcentral.